CUAACAUAGCAGGCGUAUAAAUAUGCUUGAGCGGAGUUCCCACUUCCUUUUUUCAGGGGAAACAGAAGUUAGGUUGAAAAUACUGUAUCCAUGAAAACCGGAUGUUAGCGUUUUCUGCCGACUUAGCAUAGACAAGGGUCACAGAGGCAUGACCCAGUCUCCUUAGACCUAAGCAGAGGAGAGCACAGAAAAAAACCCACUGGUUAUUUAUAGUGGCUGGAGAGCAGCGAGGUCCUGUCUGGCUGGCCAUUACCUCAGCCUCUGGAUAUCUCAGUCUGCUCCCCUCUUCUCACCACUCCAGCCCUGCCAGACCCUCUGUUGCAGCUUUGUUGAGUUGGAAUGCAAGCACCACCUAGGGGUCGUCACGAGGAACUGCGCCUGAGUCCCAUAUGCUUCAGGACACUCCAUGAGGCCCUGACCAUGCUCUUUUUGUCUCUGCUCCUCUUUUCAUAGCUGCAGUGGUCCUACUGUGGACAAAGCAGCUUUUGUAGACUUGGACCUUAUGUGGAUCAGACAAAGUGCACAGUUGGGUGCCAGACUGAUCCCCUUGUCAUGAAUGGAUCCUAGGACCUACCUGAAGGAGCAAAGCUUGUCAGGCAAGACCUCAGAAUAAAAUGCGACACAUGUACACUUGUGACACCUCCUUCGUUGUUGCCAGUCUCCCUCGCCUCCUAUGAAAAGGACAUGCCAUCACGAGGCCUCUGACAGUGGCCCGAGUUACAGCCCAUAUGACGCAGACGGCUUCAUCAACGACAGGCCCUCCCAGUCCACAGCACCUUAUAAUAUUGCCUGCUGCAGUUGUUCGAGAGAUGUCCAGUUUGCAGCCGAACAUGCAGCAUAGAGAAGACCAGCAAGGGGGCCCUUAUCAGCAUCAUGCAGACAUGCCCUCACUGUGAGUAUUCCUAUGAAUGGAACAGUCAGCCACUUGUUGGCAAGUAUCAGCCCAGCAACCCUCACCUGUCGGUGGCAACAGCUUACACAGGCUCAUCAUUUGUACAAAUACAGAAGUAUCUUUGAUGAGGGGCUGAUCUAUGCUGCUAUGCCCGUCAAUGGGGCUCUGUCAAAGAAUCUCACCUCCAGCCUCACCACUUGCAUGUUCACCAACGGUCGUCGAAGGGGAGAAGAGAAUUAUAAACAUGUAUGGAGCCAGCACAUAGAGACUUGCAAAAUGAUGUGAUGAAGUUCAGACUCACGGACGAGCUUCUCUCAAAGGAGAUAUACCUGGAACUCAGCAUAACAUUUUUACUAGACAUAACUUUUACUUGGGUCUUUUUUAUUAUUUAAUUGAAUGGUAUCAUUCAAUACGGGCAGGGAGAAACCCUGUGUAUUCUGCACCAGGAUCAGGGAACUCCUGUUGUACACGGGACACCACACAGGAAGAUAUGACCACUCUGACAUGUUUGCCAAGGUAGCCUCACUACCACCAGACAAAAUGCCGAUAGGCACAGUAUCUGUAUCGGCUGGGAAUGACAAUGGUGCACAUUGUUAUAUGUGACUCGUUUCAGGAAAGUAGGCAUAUGUCGCGUGUCACUACUUCACAGGAGCGCUAUUUGAACGUAAACAAUGUUUUUAAAAUCAAAAUGCGUUUUGGGGGAAUAAAAUUGUUAAAUUACGAGCCUAGUUGGUUUAGCCAUGGAAAAAGACAGAAACUUUCCCGCUAGCCAUGAUUGACUGAGAUAAUGAGUGGUUUGGACAUGCCGAGAGAUGAGUUCGGAUUGGUCUACCAUGUAGCACGCUUCUGUCUAUAAUAUGAGCUGGUCAGUAUGUGUAGGUAAUCCUUUCCAACGUGGCUUUUUUGAAAGAUAUCACAUAGUAGAACUGCAUAAGUGUUGCUCUCCACUUUCUGGAGGACUGAGUUUUGAAAUCAGUGGAAUUAGAGUAUGAUAGCUAAGGAGAUGGAGAAAAUUCUGCCGUUUGAUUGGAAAUAUGCAGACGGAGUCGAAAAGAGAACACAGAAGGCUCCGGAUUACAUCUUCAAACUAAGAGCAACCAUGGCAUCCCUGACAGAGAAGGAGAAGCGUCCAUCCAUGUAUAUGGGUAAGAGAGUCUAGCUAGCUAAAUUUUCAGAUAUUACACAUUUCUAAUUUUGUCAGAAAGUAAUUUUCAUUUGAAGUUAAAGUGUACUGUUAGCUAGCUAGCUAACGUUAGCUGGCUGGCUAGCUAGCUAAUGUUACGGGUAUGAUCUUUGUGGUAAUUUUAUUCAUAUCUCAGAGCCAUUUGCAUUGCUAGUUAUAGCCUGAUGUUAGCUAGCUAACAAUGAACCUGGUUGGUUUGCUACCUGCAGAUUCAUGCAGGGUAGUAAUGUCAUGAGAUGGUAUUAUGGUUCAUUGUUUAGCUAGCUAGCUACAUGUCUUAACAAAAGACCACUAUGCAAGUAACUAUUUCAAUAGAAUGUUAAUGAUGUCACUGUGACAACUGUCGAUAGACGUAGCUAGUCAAUUCGCUCUGGCUAUCUACUCUGAUUUCAGAGCACUCUCGUCUGAGUGUGCCAGAGCGCAGAAUAACUGAUGAAUUUACGAAUGCUCAACACCCGUUGAACAUGGCCGGUGUCAGUAAAUGUUGGCAAAAAAUGAGUAAUUAAAUUGUUGCCAGCAGCACAGUUAAAGUUACCAACGCUCUGAAUAACAUGAAAACAGCCUAAUCAGCUCUGCUAGGGAGAGUAAAACGGUCAGAGUGAGGUGUUCUCUCAUUUGUGUCUGAAAGUAUCUAGCCAGUUAGCUUGGGUGCUUGACUGCCGUUGUGAGGUCAGAGCUCUCUGAUCAACCCUACUCCUCGGCCAGUGUCCAGUGUGCGAACAACAAUCUGACAAGGCUCUGAAUUUACGAACGCCCAGAGCGCACUCUGGCACUCCAGAUAAAAUGUAAGAACACACCCGUAGUAUAAACUAGCCUUUAGUCUUGAAAUCUUUGGUUGUUUAGUACAUGGCCUCACAUGUGAAUCCUCAAAGAGAUGGGUGGGGCUAAAGCUUAAGAGGGUGAGAAUGAUGCUGAAUGGGUGUAGACAAAGAAGAGCUCUCCAGUAGGUACCAAAACACUGAAGGGCCAUUUUCUCAAAAGUGAGGUUACAAGUUUAUAAACUUACAAAGCAGAAUUACUUUCCCAUUGUUCCUCAACUGUAGUGUAUUAUAUAAAAAUGUUUGUAGCUCUGAGUCUCUACUUUUAUCCAAUGUAAAAAACACAAUUUAAAAUUUUACUACAUAAGACCGAAUCGAGCCGGUCUGUCACAUAUUAGCAGAACACUGUUUAUUCUACAUGGACGUGUUACUACAAUUGAAAGUAAUCAAAACAGUUAUGAAUAUCUACAUACAUUCAGCAAUUGCAUUCUCUUAUUACUCUGUAGGCUGCUGACCUGUUCAAAGUUCAUUUGCUGUCAUUUGAUUGCUGUUUUGUUUCAUAUUGUGUUUGAUUGUUGUGUUGCUGUGAUCAGGGAACCCUUGUGAAUGAAACCCUAAAAUAAAUAAAUAUACACUUUUUUCUGGCAUCUCAC
RNAcentral lists this long non-coding RNA (3486 nucleotides) under Salmo salar (Atlantic salmon). RNAcentral's name for it is "lncRNA (ENSSSAG00000098041.1)". Lineage: Eukaryota; Metazoa; Chordata; Actinopteri; Salmoniformes; Salmonidae. The record is from RNAcentral.